ACAUGAAAACCCAAAUUAGGUGACAGAAAUGAAUAUGAAGGUGAGAUACAUCUGAAAUUGCUCUUUAAAAGAAUCACUUGAAGGUGAAUACCAGGGACAUGUCUGCGACGGUCAUUUCCCUACACAAUGAUCAGUGCUCCGGGAGCAGAUUUGACUACAGGACUGACAGCAAGAAGAGGAAUCUUGCAGCUAUUUUUAUGUUGCCCCGUUUUGACCUCUCUCCUUUUCAAAUACUAGGACAUAAGCACAAUAUUCAGGCUAGUGGCCCGAGGACAAAAGACAGAGAAACUAGCACAAGAUCCCAGGCUUCUCCUUACUUCUGGGUUGAUGUCCAGUGAAUUCUCCUGUCUGUCUGUCUGUCUGGUUGGCUGGCUGGCUGGCUGGCUAGCUGGCUAUCAGUCUGCAGGACAAAACAGAACAGAGUUCCAGGCUGCAGCAGGGUUGGCCUCCAGGCUGUCACAGAGCAACACAUCCUGAGACGGAGGCUACACAUUUGUGAAGGGCUCCAGGACAGACAGACGGGUGGUUUGCAUGGUGCUGCCUCCCUUGCAAAGCCGAAAGCAACCAUGAGGAGACCCCUCGGGCUGGUUUCCAUUCCCAAAGGCCUAAUGUAACACCCCUAUAGGGCCUGUGAUAUGUCUGCCACUACCAAAGGCCAACCCAGCGGUGACAAGGCACUUUAAUAGAUUCGCUGUUGUUCUCUUCCACAGCCCGGCUCCGUAAGCCCUGAUGGGUAAAGGAGAGCAGGAGUGUGAGGUUUACCCUGCUGGUGUGAGGACCAGUCUUCCAGCCCAGACUGACUUCACUAAAUCGAUGACAGACCCAGAAAAGGGCACUGUUCUGUCUCCUGUCACCCAGCUAAAGGAAAACACAGAAAGACUCUCGGGGGAACAGUGGGACAAAGAGCAGUAGGUCUGGAUGCCAGCAACGACUGGGGUUGUUUCCAGAACCUUCAAGCAGCUCUGCUCCAGAGGGUGCUUCUCCUUCAAUGGCUGACCUGUUCCCAGAGGCUGCUGACUGUAGGCCCAGGGUCCUAAGCACUCAUCCCGGGUGCUUCCCAGUAUCGUCAGGCACUUUGUUUUUCUGAAUUGUGGAUUAGGAGUCAAAGCCAUGGGCCUGUCGAUUGGACAGAAGAGGCUUGCGGCACAGGUAAUUGAAGAUGCCUGCGGGAGUUUGAACUGCCCUUCGGGACUUCUGACUUGGGGCUGAAGGGUUGAAACCAUUGCUGCACAUGUUUGUCUUCUGCAUCCGAAGGAUCCCAUUAUCCGGAGCUGUGGUCAGCUCCUCUCCAAGCCUUAGCCAGAGUGACUCACGUGGCUCUUCAGUUACCAGCAACACUCAUGUGGUGGGCUGGCUCACGUCAGCUCUCAGCACACAACUGUGCGUUUUGGGAAACAGAGCAGAAGAUGACAGGCUCCUGGCAUAGACUUUGUCCACACCACAAAUGUGGAUCCUCCCUCAAGAUGGCCACAGCAGGAACGGAGGGAGACAGCAAUGAGCUAGCCCUGCCCAUCAGUCACAGCCGCUGAGGAGAACAAUCCAGAACAUGUGUUCUGCAUUUGGAAGGGACUGAUCCCCACUUUAGGCUACUAUCCUCGCUUUCCCGGGAUCCAGCAGUAAAAUGAUGGAUCUUCAAAUCACACCAGCGAAGCUCUUUGCCUUUCAACUUGCAUAUCCAGUAAUACACCUAAUAGCACAGUUUUAAACAGUGUCAUGGUGUGACUGCAACACACAUUUUUAUUCUGUUUUCCUGCUAAAAUCAGAUAUAUGUGGAAGUACGUGUGGCAAGUAUGUCUAUAUCAGAAUAUAGUGAAGUAGUAUAUAUCUCGCAAUGAGGAAAAAGCCAUGAAAUU
Molecule: long non-coding RNA, 1853 nt
Filed under: Mus musculus (house mouse)
Lineage: Eukaryota; Metazoa; Chordata; Mammalia; Rodentia; Muridae
Description: long non-coding RNA chr14:117903134-117904987
Source: RNAcentral